This 468-nucleotide ribosomal RNA is filed under the name uncultured bacterium. RNAcentral describes it as "partial 16S ribosomal RNA". It matches the Rfam family "Bacterial small subunit ribosomal RNA", at positions 28 to 507 of the family's 1533-position model. The record is from RNAcentral.
GACGAACGCUGGCGGCGUGCUUAACACAUGCAAGUCGAACGGAAAGGCCCUGCUUUUGUGGGGUGCUCGAGUGUCGAACGGGUGAGUAACACGUAGGUAACCUGCCCUUGCCUUUGGGAUAACUUCAUGAAACUAGGGCUGAUACCGGAUAGGAGCUCCUGCUGCAUGGUCUGGCUUGGAAAGUUUCGGCGGUUGGCGAUGGACUGGCGGGUUAUCGGCUUGUUGGUUGGGUAGUGGCUUACCAAGGCUUUGACGGGUAGACGGACUGAGGGGGUGACCGGCAAGGUUGGGAUUGAGACAGGGUCCAGACAGCGAGGGGAGGCAGCAGUGGGGAAUACUGCACAAUGGGCGGACGUCAGAUGAAGCAACGACGCGAGAGGGAUGACGGCCUUCGGGUUGUAAACAGCUUUCGCAUGUGACGAAGCGUGAGUGACGGUAAUGGGUAAAGAAGCACCGGCGAACUACGUG